Molecule: ribosomal RNA, 1266 nt
Filed under: Triticum aestivum (bread wheat)
Lineage: Eukaryota; Viridiplantae; Streptophyta; Magnoliopsida; Poales; Poaceae
Description: partial small subunit ribosomal RNA
Source: RNAcentral
AUGUGGGCAAAACCUUAUUUUGCUGGGAAAUUCUGUGCCAGAAUGACUAGCACACAACAUAGUGAAAGUGCCAAUCACAUGUUGAAGAACUACGUACCUCCAGGAUGCCCUAUGAAUUUGUUUGUCAAACAAUAUAGCAAGCUCCAGUUUGACAGAGAUCAAGAAGAAGGGUUUCAAGAAAAACGCACCAGACUGNNNNNNNNNNNNNNNNNNNNNNNNGCAAACAUUCUGUUGGAAAAGCACGCAAGCAAAAUAUACACCAGAACAAUGUUUGAGAUGUUCAGAUCACAUAUGUACGCAGCAGGGUCGUACACUAUAGCUGAGAUAACUCCAAAGAGAUUGUACACCGCUACUCAUGUCAAUGCAGAGAAAAGGAGCAAGUAUUGUAAGACGGUUUUUGAAAUAGGAAUAUCAGAUGACGGGGAGAUUUAUAAGUGCCAGUGCGGACUGUUCGAGCAUAUGGGCAUGGUUUGCUGCCACAUAAUAAAGGUCAUGAUGGUGCUGGAUGUUAAGAUGAUCCCACAAUACCAUAUCAUGAAGCGUUGGACAGUAGACGCACGGGACAUCCUACCUGAACACCUAAAGCAUUACCAGAAGGAUAUGGGUCCUAUUGAAUCACCUACGUACCGGCACUCAGCUCUGUACAACGCAGCUCUUGAGCUAGUAAGGCUUGGCGACACUAAUGUACAUAGUUACGAGUUUACUAUAAAGUACAUCAAGGACGGUUUAUUAAAAGUGUCACCUCUUUGCGACAAAGGAGAUGGCAUGAGUGUAUUGGACAAAGCAUCCAGCAUAGCCAGGUCAAAUGCAACUAGCCAAAUCAGGGGUGAUCUUAGCAUGAACAUGCCAGCCGAUGCACAGGAGCUUUCUGAAUCAAGGCACCAAAACAUGGCGAAGCGUACAAGGUCUGAAAGUUCAUGCAUGAAUGGCGGUGGCGCAGGCGAAGGUGAUAGUUCAGAAUCAAUGAACGAUGUGUUCUCUCCUGAUAGAAAUCACCAAGAACUAUCAGCACCACCUCCUAAAAGGUUAAGAGGCAGACCUACAACAGCAAGAGAUAAGGCACCUUAUGAGAAGAACAUUAAGAGGACUCGAUUUUGCAAGAUUUGUAGGGGUGAAGGACACAAGUGCACCACAUGCCCAAUGAGAGGGGAUGCUCCAGUUAAACCAAGGAAGCAAUCAACAUGCACCAAUUGUGGAGUAGCUGGACAUCGCAGGAACAGCUGCGGGAAAAAUAAAAUGUUCAACGACAGGUUAUCUAUUGAGUGA